RNAcentral lists this ribosomal RNA (124 nucleotides) under Castor canadensis (American beaver). Lineage: Eukaryota; Metazoa; Chordata; Mammalia; Rodentia; Castoridae. The record is from RNAcentral.
GUCUAUGGCCACACCACCCUCAACUCGCCUGAUCUCCUCAGCCAAGCAGGGUCGGCCUGGUUAGUACUUGGAUGGGAGACAGAUCUUCAGAGGAGACCGCUCGGAGACAAGCAGUUUGGAGACA